GGGGGCGAUCUGGCUUCGACGGGGGUGUUGAAUCGUGGGACGCGUGCCGAGGGCCAUCUCCUCGCAAAUCCGGUGGAAAAAACCAUAACUGCGGAACCGCAGCUCGCUCUCGCUGCUUAGGCAGUGAGCGGUCACCCUGAGAAUGCCUGCGUCAUGGGGCUGACCGUCAUUUAGCAGGCUGGUCCACACGUGCUGCUCCGACGCGUGACGACGAGACACAUCGGGGAUGGCGGCCGGGGCGCUUGGCUCCGUUCAGAACCGGCCGCGACAUCAGAAUGGAGACACGCACGUAGUGUCCUGCGGGAACGCAUUCUCGGACGCGGGUUCAACUCCCGCCGCCUCCACCA
This 347-nucleotide transfer-messenger RNA is filed under the name Vicinamibacterales bacterium. It matches the Rfam family "transfer-messenger RNA". Rfam says of the family: Bacterial tmRNA, also known as 10Sa RNA or SsrA, is named for its dual tRNA and mRNA-like properties. Lineage: Bacteria; Pseudomonadati; Acidobacteriota; Vicinamibacteria; Vicinamibacterales. The record is from RNAcentral.